This 75-nucleotide transfer RNA is filed under the name Candidatus Hydrogenedentota bacterium. RNAcentral's name for it is "tRNA-Glu". It matches the Rfam family "tRNA". Rfam says of the family: Transfer RNA (tRNA) molecules are approximately 80 nucleotides in length. Their secondary structure includes four short double-helical elements and three loops (D, anti-codon, and T loops). Lineage: Bacteria; Pseudomonadati; Candidatus Hydrogenedentota. The record is from RNAcentral.
GGCCCGUUCAUCUAGGGGUUAGGAUGCGGGAUUCUCAGUCCCGUUACAGGGGUUCGAAUCCCCUACGGGCUACCA